Molecule: long non-coding RNA, 912 nt
Organism: Oncorhynchus tshawytscha (Chinook salmon)
Lineage: Eukaryota; Metazoa; Chordata; Actinopteri; Salmoniformes; Salmonidae
Source: Ensembl
UGGGCAGAGCCCCUAGGUCCUGGAGGACAUCAGGUGGGUGUUGGGCAGAGCCCCUAGGUCCUGGAGGACAUCAGGUGGGUGUUGGGCAGAGCCCCUAGGUCCUGGAGGACAUCAGGUGGGUGUUGGGCAGAGCCCCUAGGUCCUGGAGAACAGGUAACGGAGGACAUCGGUGGAUCUGGGUGUUGGGUUGAACCCCCUAGGUCCUGGAGAACAUCAGUUGGGUUUGGGUGUUGGGCAGAACCCCCUAGGUCCUGGAGAACAUCAGUUGGGUCUGGGUGUUGGGUUGAACCCCCUAGGUCCUGGAGAACAUCAGUUGGGUCUGGGUGUUGGGCAGAACCCCCUAGGUCCUGGAGAACAUCAGGUGGGUGUUGGGCAGAACCCCCUAGGUCCUGGAGAACAGGUAAUGGAGGACAUCAGGUGGGUGUUGGGCAGAACCCCUAGGUCCUGGAGAACAGGUAACGGAGGACAUCGGUGGAUCUGGGUGUUGGGUUGAACCCCCUAGGUCCUGGAGAACAUCAGUUGGGUUUGGGUGUUGGGCAGAACCCCCUAGGUCCUGGAGAACAUCAGUUGGGUCUGGGUGUUGGGUUGAACCCCCUAGGUCCUGGAGAACAUCAGUUGGGUCUGGGUGUUGGGCAGAACCCCUAGGUCCUGGAGAUCAAGAGCAGAGUUAGAGGUUAGGAGACAGACGUCAACAAGCAAACACACAGUUUACACUUUACUGGGAGAACAUUUUGAUGGAUUAGUGCAGUGUUAUAAAUGGGAGAUAUUUACUUUUCAACACUUGGAUGGUACAGCCUACCUCAAGCUGGUCCCCCUCUGACUCCGAGCACAGAUAAUCAGACUGAUCUGAACUCACUGGUUCUGGUGGAUGGGAUACUUCCUAGGGAGCUCAGACAGUUAAUGGUCCUCAAG